AACGAACGCUGGCGGCAUGCCUAACACAUGCAAGUCGAACGAGACCUUCGGGUCUUGUGGCGCACGGGUGUGUCACGCGUGGGAACCUUCACUUAGGGUCGGAAUAACUCCCCGAAAGGGGUGCUAAUACCGGAUCAUGUCUUCUGACCAAAGAUUUAUCGCCUUUGGUUGGUCCCUCGUUGGAUUAGCUAGUUGGUAGAGUAAAAGACUACCAAGGCGACGAUCCAUAGCUGGUAUGAGAGGAUGAUCAGCCACACUGGGAGUGAGACACGGCCCAGACUCCUACGGGAGGGAGCAGGGGGGAAUAUGGGACAAUGGGCGAAAGCCUGAUCCAGCAAGGCCGCGUGAGUGAUGAAGGCGUUAGGGUUGUAAAGCUCUUUUACCCGGGAUGAUAAUGACAGUACCGGGAGAAUAAGCUCCGGCUAACUCCGG
Molecule: ribosomal RNA, 432 nt
Filed under: uncultured bacterium
Lineage: Bacteria
Description: partial 16S ribosomal RNA
Rfam family: Bacterial small subunit ribosomal RNA
Source: RNAcentral